This 6300-nucleotide ribosomal RNA is filed under the name Triticum aestivum (bread wheat). RNAcentral describes it as "partial small subunit ribosomal RNA". The record is from RNAcentral. Lineage: Eukaryota; Viridiplantae; Streptophyta; Magnoliopsida; Poales; Poaceae.
GUCAUCCCCAACCUCUCGUGCCGUGGACGCCGCUGGUCCGUCUAGCGUGUGGAUGCCGCGCUGUCGGCCAUCCCACGGUCGAGGGGAUGGAUAAGAGCAAGCCCUCGACGCUCUCCCUCUCGCCGAAACCCUAGGCCCUCAGUUUUCCCCUCCCUCACAUCUCACACACGAUCUCGAGCUCGCUAGAGCGGAACCGUGGCCGCAUCAUCAUCAACCUCGAGCGUCGUAGCGUCCCCGAGCCUCGAGAGGAGGUCCGAAGGAUGCUGCUCCUUCGUCUUCUUCGACCACGAACAUGGGUUCGUCUGGAGAUGCAACACACCGACGGAUCGGUCUUCAUCUUCCCCGUCGGCCGCCGCACAACCUCGCCUCGAUUCGUCGCCUCCGGAGCUUCCCCGGUGGUCUCGCGCUCGCCAAUCACCUCCUGACACCGAGAUCGACGCCGCUGCUACCCAGUACGACUACGGUGUUGAUGACCCCUCUCUCUUGCCAGAGCAACCAGACGUUGGAGCCCAGGAGCCAGACGCCACCAUUGACGACGAUUCCUACUACAUUGGAGGUGCCUACUACUACGUGCAGCCCGCUGACGACGACCAGGAGUAGUUUAGGAGGAUCCCAGGCAUGAGGCCUGCGCCUCUUUCGAUCUGUAUCCCAGUUUGUGCUAGCCUUCUUAAGGCAGACUUGUUUAACUUAUGUCUGUACUCAGAUAUUGUUGCUUCCGCUGACUCGUCUAUGAUCGAGCUCUUGUAUUCGAGCCCUCGAGGCACCUAGCUUGUAAUAUGAUGCUUGUAUGACUUAUUAUAUUCGUAGAGUUAUGUUGUGAUAUCUUCCCGUGAGUCCCUGAUCUUGAUCGUACACGUUUGCGUGUAUGAUUAAUGUACGAUUGAAUCAGGGACGUCACAUGAGGGAAAUUUGCUACUGUCCUACAAACCUCUACACUUGGAGGCCCAACAACGUCUACAAGAAGAAGGUUGUGUAGUAGACAUCAGUAAUUUGUUCACCCACCUUAAUAUAUGCUAUCAUGAGAGAAGCCACUAGUGAAACCUAUGGCCCCAGGUCUACUUUACAUCAUAUAAGUUUCCGAUCUAUAAUUCUAGUUUACUAUUUAUUUUGCAAUCUUUAUUUUCCAAUCUAUACAACAAAAAUAUCAAAAAUAUUUAUCUUAUUAUCUUUAUCAGAUCUCACUUUUGCAAGUGGCCGUGAAGGGAUUUACAACCCCUUUAUCAUGUUGGUUGCAAGCUCUUGAUUGUUUGUGCAGGUACUAGGCGACUUGCAUGUAGUCUCCCACUGGAUUGAUACCUUGGUUCUCAAAAACUGAGGGAAAUACUUACGCUACUUUGCUGCAUCACCCUUUCCUCUUCAAGGAAAACCAAUGCAUGCUCAAGAGGUAGAAAGAAGGAUUUCCGGUGCCGUUGCUAGGAGAUAUACGCUCAAGUCAAGACAUACCAAGUACCCAUGACAAACUCUUCUCCCUCGCAUUACAUUAUUUGCCAUUUGCCUCUCGUUUUUCUCUCCCCCACUUCACCUUUGUCGUUUUAUUUUUCCUUUUCCAUUCGCCUCUUUUCGCUUGCCUCUUGUGUGCCUAUUUUCCUGAUGGCCUUGCCUAAAAGCGUUGAUCCUCACCUUAGAAGGUUGGAAGAAAUUGAAAACAACAUUAGAAGCUUUAUGUCUUUGCAAUUUGAGCAUAAUAAUUUCUUCAGAAACGAGCUUAAAGAACAAAAAUGUUUUAUGAAGUACAUGAAUAAAUAGCUCGAUGAUAUGUCUAAAGAAUUUUAUGGUUUGAAAUCUCAGUUUGCUCAUCUUAAAAAUUUAGUGGGUCAAAUUUCGGAUAAGCAAGCCACCUUAGUUAAUAAGAUUGCCGCUAAACGGGAGGAUCUACAUGAUAAUAAAGAUGUAGAUCUAAUAGUGAUUGAUGUGUCUCCUAUUAAAUCUUUGUUUUCCAUUAUGAAUCUUGAUAAAGAAGGGACUCGAGAUGAGUCAACUUUAGUUAAAAGGCGUCUCAAUUAUUCGGAGUUUUUAGAUCUUGAUGCUAAAAUUAAUAAAAGUGGGAUUGAAGAGGUCAAAACUUUAUAUAGCAAUGAACCCACUAUUUUGGAUUUCAAGGAAUUUAAUUAUGAUAAUUUCUCUUUGAUAGAUUGUAUUUCCUUGUUGCAAUCCGUGUUAAAUUCUCCUCAUGCUUAUGAUCAAAAUAAGACUUUUACUAAACAUAUCGUUGAUGCUUUAAUGCAAUCUUAUGAAGAAAAGCUUGAACUAGAAGUUUCUGUUCCUAGAAAACUUUAUGAUGAGUGGGAACCUACCAUUAAAAUUAAGAUCAAAGAUCACGAAAGCUAUCCUUUAUGUGAUUUGGGUGCUAGUGUUUUCACGAUUCCAAAAUCUUUGUGUGAUGUGUUAGGUUUCCGUGAAUUUGAUGAUUAUUCUUUAAAUUUGCACCUUGCAGAUUCCACCAUUAAGAAACCUAUGGGAAGAAUUAAUGAUGUUCUUAUUAUUGCAAAUAGGAAUUAUGUGCCCGUAGAUUUCAUUGUUCUUGAUAUAUAUUGCAAUUCUACAUGUUCUAUUAUUCUUGAUAGACCUUUCCUUAGAACGAUUGGUGCAAUUAUUAACAUGAAAGAAGGAAAUAUUAGCUUGCAAUUUCCGUUGAGGAAAAGCAUGAAACACUUUCCUAGAAGGAAAUUAAAUUACCUUAUGAAUCUAUUAUGAGAGCCACUUAUGGAUUGCAUACCAAAGAUGACAAUACUUAGAUCUAGUCUUGGUUUUAUGCCUAGUUAGGGGCGUUAAACGAUAGCGCUUGUUGGGAGGCAACCCAAUUUUAUUUUUUUCCUGUUUAGUAAUAAAUAAUUCAUCUAUCCUAUGUUAUGAUUGUGUUUUUUAUGUUUUAAUUAGUGUUUGUGCCAAGUAAAGCCUUUAGGAUCUUCUUGGGUGAUUGUUGUUUGAUCUUGGUGAAAAAAACAGAAAGUAUGCGCUCACGAGAAUAGUUUUCGUUUGUUACCAGAUAGUGAUAAAAUACCAAUUCCAACUGCAGUUGAUCAAUAUACAAAUUAUUUAGGUCAUCCUAAUUUUUCAGAAUUUUUCGAGUUACAGAAGUAUUUGAAACCUCCAGAUUGCUACAGACUGUUCUGUUUUUGACAAAUUAUGUUUUUCGUGUGUUGUUUGCUUAUUUUGAUAAAUCUGUGGCUAGUAUCGGGGGGUAUGAACCAUAAAAAAGUUUGAAUACAGUAGGUUUAACACCAAUAUAAGUAAAUAAUGAGUUCAUUACAAUACCUUAAAGUGGUGAUUUAUUUUCUUAUACUAACGGAGCUCAUGAGAUUUUUUGUUUAAGUUUUGUGUUGUGAAGUUUUGAAGUUUUUGGUAAAGAUUUAAUGGAUUUUGGAAUAAGGAGUGGCAAGAGCCUAAGCUUGGGGAUGCCCAAGGCACCCCAAGGUAAAAUUCAAGGACAACCAAAAGCCUAAGCUUGGGGAUGCCCCGAAAGGCAUCCCCUCUUUCGUCUUCGUCUAUCGGUAACUUUACUUGAGGCUAUAUUUUUAUUCACCACAUGAUAUGUGUUUUGCUUGGAGCGUCUUGUAUGGUUUGAGUCUUUGCUCUUUAUUUUACCACAAUCAUCUUUGCUGUACACACCUUUUGGGAGAGACACACAUGAAUCAAAGUUUAUUAGAAUACUCUAUGUGCUUCACUUAUAUCUUUUGAGCUAGAAAAUUUUGCUCUAGUGCUUCAUUUAUAUCUUUUUAGAGCACGGUGGUGGUUUUAUUUCAUAGAAAUUAUUGAUCUCUCAUGCUUCACUUAUAUUAUUUUGAGAGUCUUUUAGAACAGCUUGGUAAUUUUAUUUUGCUAUAAAAUUAGUCCUAAUAUGAUAGGCAUCCAAGAUGGAUAUAAUAAAAACUUCCAUAUAGAGUGCAUUGAAUACUAUGAGAAGUUUGGUACUUGAUGAUUGUUUUGAGAUAUGAAGAUGGUGAUAUUAGAGUCAUGCUAGUUAAGUAAUUGUGAAAUUGAUAAAUACUUGUGUUGAGGUUUGCAACUCCCGUAGCAUGCACGUAUGGUAACCGUUGUGUGACAAAUUUGAAGUAUGAGGUGUUCUUUGAUUGCCUUCCUUGUGAGUGGGGACGAGCGAUGGUCUUUUCCUACCAAUCUAUCCCCCUAGGAGCAUGUGCGUAGUGCUUGGUUUUGAUGACUUGUAGAUUUUUGAAAUAAGUAUGUGAGUUCUUUAUGACUAAUGUUGAGUGCAUGGAUUAUACGCACUCUCACCCUUCCAUCAUUGCUAGCCUCUUCGGUACCGUGCAUUGCCUUUUCUUACCUCAAGAUUUGGUGCAAACUCCGCCGGUGCAUCCAAACCCCGUGAUGUGAUACGCUCUUUCACACAUAAACCUCCUUAUAUCUUCCUCAAAACAGCCACCAUACCUACCUAUUAUGGCCUUUCCAUAGCCAUUACGAGAUAUAUCGCCAUGCAACUUUCAACCGUUUCGUUUUUUAAGACACGCUCCAUCAUUGUCAUAUUGCCUUGCAUGAUCAUGUAGUUUACAUCGUAUGUUUGGCAAAGCCGCCGCUCAUAAUUUUUAUACAUGUCACUCUUGAAUCAUUGCACAUCUCGGUACACUGCCGAAGGCAUUCAUAUAGAGUCAUAUUUUGUUCUAGUAUCGAGUUGUAAUUUUUGAGUUGUAAAUUAAUAGAAGUGUGAUGAUCAUCAUUAUUGAAGCAUUGUACCAUGAGGAAAUAAAUAAAGAGAGAAAGGCCAAAUAAAAAAGAGAAGGCCCAAAAAAAGGAAAAAAAUGAGAGAAAAAGAGAGAAGGGGCAAUGUUACUAUCCUUUUUCCACACUUGUGCUUCAAAGUAGCACCAUGAUCUUAAUAAUAGAGUCUCUUAUUUUGUCACUUUCAUAUACUAGUGGGAAUUUUCAUUAUAGAACUUGGCUUGUAUAUUCCAACAAUGGGCUUCCUCAAAAUGGGCUAGGUCUUCGUGAGCAAGCAAGUUGGAUGCACACCCACUUAGUUUCUUUUGUUGAGCUUUCGUACAUUUAUAACUCUAUUGCAUAUGUUGCAUGGAAAUCCCUACUCCUCGCAUUGACAUCAAUUGAUGGGCAUCUCCAUAGCCCGUUGAUUAGCUGCAUCAAUGUGAGACUUUCUCCCUUUUUGUCUUCUCCACACAACCUCCAUCAUCAUAUUCUAUUCCACCCAUAGUGCUAUGUCCAUGGCUCGCGUUCAUGUAUUGCGUGAAAGUUGAAAAAGUUUGAGAAUACUAAAGUAUAAAACAAUUGCUUGGCUUGUCAUCGGGUUGUGCAUGAUGGGGGCAUUUUGUGUGACGAAAAUGAAGCAUGGCCAAACUAUAUGAUUUUGUAGGGAUGAGCUUUCUUUUGCUAUGUUAUUUUCAGAAGACAUAAUUGCUUGGUAAGUAUGCUUGAAGUAUUAUUGUUUUUAUGUCAAUAUUAAACUUUUGUCUUGAAUCUUUUGGAUCUGAAUAUUCAUGCCACAAUAAAGAGAAUUAAAUUGAAAAUUAUAUUAGGUAGCAUUCCACGUCAAAAAUUCUGUUUUUAUCAUUUACCUACUCAAGGACGAGCAGGAAUUAAGCUUGGGGAUGCUUGAUACGUCUCCAACGUAUCUAUAUUUUUUGAUUGUUCCAUGCUAUUAUAUUAUCUGUUUUGGAUGUUUAAUGGGCUUUAAUAUUCACUUUUAUAUUAUGUUUGGGACUAACCUAUUAGCCAAAGGCCCAGUGCAAAUUGCUAUUUUUUUGCCUAAUUCAGUGUUUCGCAGAAAAGGAAUAUCAAAUGGAAUCCAAACGGAAUGAAACCUUCGUGAGGAUCUUUCUUGGAACAAACGCAACCCAGGAGACUUGGAGUACAAGUAUGGAAGUCCGCAAAGCUUCCAUGAGGCAGGGGUGCGCCUAGGGGGGUAAGCGCGCCCCCACCCUCGUGGGCCCCAUGAAGCUCCACCGACGUACUUCUUUCGCCUAUAUAUACCCAUGUACCCUAAAAACAUCCAGGAGAGCCACGAAAGCACUUUUCCACCGCCGCAACCUUCUGUACCCGUGAGAUCCCAUCUUGGGGCCUUUUCCGACGAUCUACCAGGGGGAUUCAAUCACGGAAGGCUUCUACAUCAACACCAUAGACUCUCUGAUGAUGUGUGAGUAGUUUACCACAGACCUUUGGGUCCAUAGUUAUUAGAUAGAUGGCUUCUUCUCUCUCUUUGGUUCUCAAUACAAAGUUCUCCUUGAUGUUCUUGGAGAUCUAUUCGAUGUAAUACUCUUUUGCGGUGUGUUUGCUGAGAUCCGAUGAAUUGUGGGUUAAUGAAUUUGAUUAUUUAUGAGUAUUAUUUGGUUCUUC